Silurus meridionalis is the source of this 223-nucleotide long non-coding RNA. RefSeq lists it as uncharacterized. NCBI's taxonomy places the organism in Eukaryota, Metazoa, Chordata, Actinopteri, Siluriformes, Siluridae. The record is from RefSeq and is a predicted model, not a curated record. The transcript has 4 exons.
UCACGCCCGGAUCCUCCCCUUUUGCGGUUGCUAAAGACAUUUCAGCCUGUCUUUUCAGUGUGUGUCCCUGUUGGAUGCUGCUUUGGAUCUGUUUAUUGCCCUCCCUGCAGUUUAACAGCAGGUUAUUUGAAGGCUGCGUAUCCUGAGCGGUGCAUUGAUUCUCAGGAACUUAUCUAUCCGCGUUUGGAUCCUCCUUCUCUCCUUCUCUCCUUCUCUUCUUUUU